GCCAAGACGCAGCAGCUGGGCCAUCAGGCCGCUCUCAACCUUGGCAGACAGAGGGGACCAUGCUCGGCAGGUCCAAGGCCAGCUGGGUGGGCGGUGCCUGCAGGCUACUGAGUUCCUCCUCUGGGGCCCAGGCUCCCCGGAUGGGAGAGAUACGAGACUGGACAGCAGUUGGACCGGUCCCCCGCCCCCCAGGCUUGGGGCUGCCUGUUCCCUCCUGGACAGCAGGGAGGGACAGCUGGUGCUGGUGGCACUCAGCGGGUGACACGGUCCCAGGAGUGCUUCUCACAGACGACUGCAGCCCCCACGUCACAGAUGAGGAAGCCGGAGACAUAGCACCAGCCAGCAAGUCAGGGUGGACCUGGUGAGACCCCCAGCGGCCCGGCCCAGCCCCGCGCUCCCUGCAGCCUGCUCCUCCCAGGGGUCCACACGUGCCCAGGGAGAGGCACGCAUGUCACAGCCACGCGGCACAGGCCAGCACUGUGAUGCCGCCCCGCCAGCUUCCUGGGCUCCCCCAGCGUCUGCCGGGUCCCAAGCCCAUCCCCAGGGCACCGGGAGACCAGUGACAGGUGGUCUGGGUGUGCAUGACAAGGUCCCACGGGGACCUCCAUCCCCACGUGGCCCCGCCCUCUGUGAGGCCGUCUCUCUGGAGCCCAGAGCCCCCGAGCCUCUCCCAGGGAGCAGCCAGGAGGCUCCAGGCAGCUUCAUAGCCCCCCAGAGGCUGGGGUUCCUUCCCCGAGCUCAGCCUCAGGCUCUUCUCUCUGUCAGCACGGUCAGCUCCAGUGAGAAGCCCCAAGUCUAAAGAAACACAGGAGACAUGGGAGAGGCCCCGAAGGAGAAGCCGAAACCAGCCCAGCUUCCACAGCCAGGUCGUCACCUAGGGACGCUGCGCCGGGCUGCAGGGACCCAGGCCUUCCCCCAGCCGCCCCGGAAUCUGAGAAACCCCGGACAGAGAAGCCUCGAGGCCCAGGGCUGAGCCCCUGCAGACUGGAGAACCCCCGUUUCCCAAGUGCAGCUCACCAGGCACCUCCACUGCUGAUUGAGACCCAGGACACGUCUCGUGGAGAAGCUGGGUGCGCCCUGCAGGAGCUCUCAGGACACUUCGUGCAGGGAACAGGGGCCGCUCUCAGCCAAGUGGAGGAGGCAGAAGGGGACGGCGGGCCUGACGGAUCGCGAUGGCUCCCUGACCCGCACCCUGGCCCUGCGACACCCUGGGCCGGUGCUGAGCAGACGGCAGCAGUGGCUGGGCCUCAGGCCUCUCCCGGGAGCCUCCCACACCAGCCUCGGCCGGCGCUGGGGCCCUGGCCCCGGGUUUGCCUCCAUCUGCCCGCUGAGGGCUGGGACCCCAGGUGGAAAGAGCUGUUGGGUCUCUGUCCUGCAGGCGAGGGCAGGAGAAGCUACUCAGUUCAACCGAGCACCGACUCCGUGAACGCCGUCUAUGUCCAGGCCCACAUGAGAUCGACGAAGAGCUCAUAGCGAGCGGGCUGCACAGCUUGUGAGGAGAUGGACGCCUGGAGCCACCGGGAUUCUGCUGCCCUUGGUGUAGCCGUGGCCUGGCAGGGGCUUUUCAACACCCACCGGGGAGCCCCAGGUACCGCUGAGCCCGAGAGCCACUGUGCCCGGGCUAGGAGCAGUCAGACUCUGCCUGGGGGUGCCCCUGGAGCGUCCACUUCUUCAGUCACUGCAGAAGCUGCGAGAGCUGUUAAGCGGACGGUCUUGGAGGGAAAGAGGUUCUUGAACAGACGAGUCUUCUCAGCUUGAUUUCAGCCAGGGCCUUGCCCCGCGCUACAGCCUGAGCUUACUCCUUCCUGGAACCGUGUCCCUUCUGUCCAUCCUGACUUUGAGGCUAAAUCAGCACAAACACGCAGUCAGGUCCGUGAACUGCCGCUCGACGCCGCAGGUGGCUGGCAUCCAUCCCGGCCGAUGCGUGGCUGCGGUCACCUCGGAUAAAACGACCCGAGAGGCAAAAACGAGGCGCAGCCGCCACCUCCCGUCAGCAGCCUCCGCUCCCCGCCCACCUCCCGUAACUCGGGGACUGAAAUGCUCCCCCUCCUGGGCUCCACUUUAAAGCUCAGCUCAUUUACCUUGAAAAGGGGUAAAAAGCAGGUCCUUCAGGUAAGGGACCACCUGCCCAGGUCCCCGCAGGCUUUACCAGAAGGUCCGUGCGGCUCACAGCCUUGGUGGUGGUGUGGCUGGCGCCCUGGAUACCACUCGCCUACAAGGAAAGGCCCCCGUCCCCGAGUGAGGGCCCCUCCGCCCCGCACCUACUGUGUGUGCGGCCCCGCCCGGCCGUCGGCGCCCCCAGUGGGGCUUGGACGAGGGGACCACGUGGUUCUGCCGAGGCCCGUGCUGCCUGCUGGGCCAGGAGUGACGCGUCCUUGGUCCCUGACAGGGUCUCCUGAUCCCCGCUGGACCCGUGGCCCGUGGGCUGCCGUGAGAGCUUGCAGUUGGGUAACACAGCUCUGGACGCGGCCUUCCUACAAUGACUGUCAGAACAGACGAUCCACAGCAAGAUGGAGCAACGUGGGGAAACGGCAAUUUAACAGAUUACAUCACCAACAGGACACGAGCCCCUCCUCAGCCCAGCUCUGCCACGUCCUGGCCGUGUAAUCUCAGGCGGCCAGCCCCUGCCGGUGCCUUGUCUGUAAGAGGUGCCCACGUGCAGACCCAUCAGGACGACGCUGCACGGACGUGUUAGCACACCUCAAUCGCCGGACCGUGGGCAGAUGGAGACCCUGCAGGACUCGCCUCCUUGUUCUGAAGCUGCUGUCUCCAAAGCAGCUUUCCCAGAAGAACCGGGACUGCACGAUGUCAUUCAAAAGCAGACACAAGACUGAGGGGAGAGCUGACAAAGGAGCUCGGGGACCAAGUGGCGCUGGACACACAGGGCUGCCCACGGCCACUGCACACCUGCCCACGGGGUGAACGCAGGGGCCCGGUGUUUGCCAAGACUCUGGACCAAGGAAACAGAGGCCGGCCCCACGAUUCAGGCGUCUCCUAAUCUGUGCUGUGUCAGAGUUUCUCCUCAUGAAUAGUUUCAAAUACAGAGAACGCUUGAAAAAUAACCCAUUGCGCUGGACUGUCCGCCUGCUUUCUCCUGUGGAUCCGUCUCACGUAGACGUGGUGGCCCUUCACCCCCAAGAACCUCGCUCUGUGUCUGCCACCGCCCAGUCACACUCCUGUCACUGGGGACCUUUCCUGUCCCCGCGGCCCACCCCAUGCCUCUGACCACAGAACUGGUCAGGACUCGGGCCUUGCAUCAAUCCGGUUGGCCAAAAGUUUGUUCGGGUCUUUCCGUGAGACUUUUUUCUUUUUGGUCAAUUCAAUAUUUGUUUUUACGUCUCUUUUGUCUCUCCAAACAUUCUCUCCUUUUCAGUUCAGUUACUCAGUCACGUCUGACUCUUUGCGACCCCAUGGACUGCAGCACACCAGGCCACCCUGUCCAUCACCAACUCCCGGAGUUUGCUGAAACUCAUGUCCCUUGAGUCGGUGAUGCCAUCCAACCCUCUCAUCCUCUAUCGUCCCCUUCUCCUCCCACCUUCAAUCUUUCCCAGCAUCAGGGUCUUUCCCAGUGAGUCAGCUCUUCACAUCAGGUGGCCAGAGUAUUGGAGUUUCAGCUUCAACAUCGGUCCUUCCAAUGAACACCCAGGACUGAUUUCCUUUAGGAUAUUCUCCCACAAAAGCUCAUUUCUCUUCAUCUGGAAGCACACAGACCCCUCAUCCCUUCAUACUGUUCAUGAUCUCAGAGCCAGUUCACUCUCACAGGAAAGAAAGUCCCUCGGACACACCCGCUGUCUCUCAGAGACGGGUUGCUGCCUUCCUUAGUAACUGCUGUUACGACGAAGAGCCUACUUUCUUGUCACUUGCGACUUGCGGACGCUCAAAACAACUAAAACAGGAGCAGAAUUCACGAGAACUGAAGUCCUGAGUCGGGCCUGCUCCAGGGGUCUUGGUCGCUGCCAAAAACAACAGACUCUUGAAAUUUCCUUGGAUUUUACCAAAGAAUCUUAGUUCCUUUGUAUCGCAUCCUGUUUAAGAGCCAGAUACAGAAUUUCUUGGGCCGGUUUUUUGAAUGUUCCUGUGUACUUUGUGGAAAGUUUUGGAAUUUGCCCUUUCAGCAAUGCAUCCAAGUCUUACAUGAGCCUCAAAUACAAAGACGUUCUUCACCUAAAGGGAAGUAAUCCCGGUUAAACUUGGUACAAAGUGGCCCUGGUGAGGCUGUGCCACCUGGACAGCGACUCUGGCCCACCUCCUGACUGGGGUGGUGGUCACGUCCUCGCCCACCUUCCCGGGCCGUCAGGGUGAGACACGGGGCGUGGAGGCGGUUGAAAGCGUCAUCUGAGACAGGGAGUGAAGUGGGUGACCUCUCCCUGCCAUCGUCCCCCAGAGCCUCAACCCUGGACCACCGCCGCCCCCACCCCCGAGGAUCUCAGCAGUGCUACCCAUUCCUCCCUGGGAGCGUCCGGGACUGAGCUCACGUCCUGCCUCGGGAGCCUGUCACGGUCCCCAGCAGCGGGACGGGAGGGCUGGAAGGUGCUCAGGCGUGGGCAGUGCCCCCCAGAGUUACCUCCACAUGGCCGGCGUCCCCCCAGGACGUGGGAAACAGACCCAGACGCAGAGAUGCCACGUGGAGAUGGGGGCAGAGACUGCAGAGAUGCUCCUACGGGCUGAGGACCACCCGCCGCCUCCACUGGCAUGUGGACAGGCCCCACUGGGCUCUGGGGGGAGCCAGGCCUGCAGGCACCGCGCCCCAGACUGGCUGUCGAGCAGGCCGCGUGGCCGCGGUGCUCAGCUGGUGGGCUCGGCGGCCACCGCGGGAGGCACUCACGGCUGGGAAAGGCCGCCUUGUCCGCGGACGGGCCACGGCUGUACCCGGGAGGGGGACUCGCACACGGUGAGAGGAAGCGUCAGCCUCACGGCAGUGGCGGGGAGACGGGGAAGCAAGGGGGCUUUCCAGGGCCCCGGCCGCACCUUGACCUGAAGAGGACGCGGGAGCUGCUUAACGAUCGUAUCAGCACGAGGACUCACACGUUCUCUCCCCAAACAGCAGACAGACGUGCCUGCCCAGUCCCCGUGCUGAGGAGGUGCCCUGUGUGGGGCGGGCAGCCGCUCACCUGGCACCCAGUGAAGCAACUCGCUCACUGAAAAGUUACUGGGUCGAGUAGAAAAUGCAGCCGAGUCCGGUCACACGUCGGGGCAGGACGCCACCUCCACAUCCACGACAGCAAACACCAGGAACACAGAGGCCUCCCUCUGUGGCCCCGCUGCUCACUCACUGAUAAGGAGAAGCCCGGGCCACGGCGCCUGGGGAUGGCCACCCCGCUUCUCGCGGUCCUCAGCAAGGACCCCACCACAGCCGACUCCCUGGCAUCACGGCGAUUCAAGGAUUGGCAAAUGACGCAACCCCGCCUGUGGGUUUUUUUUUUUUUUUUUAGCCCUCAUAGAAAAACUUUAUUGGAAAGCAGGGAAAACUACCAAGAUAUGAAUGAAGACAAAAAAUAAACAAAAGUUCAGGCAUAAAGUGCACGACCUUGGUUUAAGUGGGAAGGGACCCUUUGGUGGUUUGUAGUUAGUGACCUAUAUUUUCACUUUGUGGCGCUGCAGCUGCUACAGCUAAGCCGCGUCAGUCGUGUCCGACUCUGUGCGACCCC
Long non-coding RNA from Bos taurus (domestic cattle), 5648 nucleotides. The record is from Ensembl. Lineage: Eukaryota; Metazoa; Chordata; Mammalia; Artiodactyla; Bovidae.